AUCACCUUAGAUCAGUAUGGAAGAUUGUGAGGCCCAUAACCUUAAGGUCGCUGGAUCGAGACCAGCAGGUGAUA
Tieghemostelium lacteum is the source of this 74-nucleotide non-coding RNA. The record is from the annotation of a GenBank genome assembly. Lineage: Eukaryota; Evosea; Eumycetozoa; Dictyosteliales; Raperosteliaceae.